ACGCAAGUGUGAAACUUGAAGGAAUUGACGGAAAGACACCACAAGAACGCGUGGAGCAUGUGGCUUAAUUUGACUCAACGCGGGGAAACUUACCGGGUCCGGACACACUGAGGAUUGACAGGCGCUUACAAUCUGUGAAGGGUUCAUUUCAUUAUGUUCCUCGAUCAGUUGUAAACCAAAGAUGCUAGCCCUUUCAUGAUUGUGUGAUAGGUGGUGCAUGGCCGUUCUUAGUUCGUGGAGUGAUCUGUCUGCUUAAUUGCGUUUCACUAUGAAAAGGUAAGCUGCAUACCAUUGCGCUUCAUUAAUUUGGACCAAUGUUGUAUAAAGCUUGACACCUUUGAAGGCAACGAACGUGACCG
RNAcentral lists this ribosomal RNA (359 nucleotides) under Foraminifera environmental sample. RNAcentral describes it as "SSU rRNA". It matches the Rfam family "Eukaryotic small subunit ribosomal RNA", at positions 1129 to 1445 of the family's 1831-position model. The record is from RNAcentral. Lineage: Eukaryota; Foraminifera.